This 1156-nucleotide ribosomal RNA is filed under the name uncultured bacterium. Its description in RNAcentral is "bacterial SSU rRNA". It matches the Rfam family "Bacterial small subunit ribosomal RNA", at positions 138 to 1293 of the family's 1533-position model. The record is from RNAcentral.
UGGGAAUAACAAUCCGAAAGGGUUGCUAAUACUCAAUAAAUGCUUCGGCACAAAAGCGGAAUGAAAAUUCCGUUGCUUGAAGAGGGGUCAAUGUCCUAUCAGCUAGUUGGUGGGGUAAUAGCCCACCAAGGCGAAGACGGGUAGCCGGCCUGAGAGGGUGGUCGGCCACACUGGGACUGAGAUACUGCCCAGACUCCUACGGGAGGCUGCAGUCGAGAAUCUUUCGCAAUGCCCGAAAGGGUGACGAAGCGACGCCGCGUGCGGGAGGAAGGCCUUCGGGUUGUAAACCGCUGUCGGGAGUUAAGAAUGCAAGAAUGUUAAUAGCGUUCUUGCUUGACUAAGGCUCCGGAGGAAGCCACGGCUAACUCUGUGCCAGCAGCCGCGGUAAUACAGAGGCGGCAAGCGUUGUUCGGAAUUAUUGGGCGUAAAGAGCACGUAGGCGGCUGUGUAAGUCGGUUGUGAAAGCCUUCCGCUCAACGGAAGAACGGCAUCCGAUACUGCAUAGCUUGAGUGUGGGAGGGGAGAGUGGAACUUCUGGUGGAGCGGUGAAAUGCGUAGAUAUCAGAAGGAACACCGGCGGCGAAGGCGACUCUCUGGUCCAUAACUGACGCUGAUGUGCGAAAGCUAGGGGAGCAAACGGGAUUAGAUACCCCGGUAGUCCUAGCCGUAAACGAUGGGCACUAAGUAGAGGGGUUUUGAUAUCUCUCUGCCGGAGCUAACGCAUUAAGUGCCCCGCCUGGGGAGUACGGCCGCAAGGCUAAAACUCAAAAGAAUUGACGGGGGCUCGCACAAGCGGUGGAGCAUGUGGCUUAAUUCGAUGCAACGCGAAGAACCUUACCGGGGUUUGACAUGUAGAAGUAGAGCCUGAAAAGGUACGAACUAUCCAGUGUAACUAUCACAGGUGUUGCAUGGCUGUCGUCAGCUCGUGUCGUGAGACGUUGGGUUAAGUCCCCUAACGAGCGAAACCCUUGUCUUUAGUUGCCAACAGGUAAUCUGGGCACUCUAAAGAAACUGCCGUCGUCAAGACGGAGGAAGGUGGGGAUGACGUCAAGUCAUCAUGGCCCUUAUAUCCCGGGCUGCACACGUGCUACAAUGGUCGGUACAAAGGGAUGCUAAGCCGCAAGGUGGAGCGAAACCCAGAAAGCCGAUCCCAGUU